AAUGUACUCCCUCCGUCCGGAAAUACUUGUCAUCAAAAUGGAUAAAAGAGGAUGUAUGUAUGCGCAUGUAUAUGAACGCUUGUGUUUGUACUGAUGUUCAAAAAAAAAAACUAGAUGUAUUUUAGUUUUAGAUACAUGUCUUUUUAUCCAUUUUUGAUGACAAGUAUUUUCGGAUAUAGGGAGUAUGAU
Molecule: non-coding RNA, 189 nt
Organism: Triticum aestivum (bread wheat)
Lineage: Eukaryota; Viridiplantae; Streptophyta; Magnoliopsida; Poales; Poaceae
Source: Rfam